GCCCCUGUAACUCAGCUGGAUAGAGUACUGGCCUCCGAAGCCGGGUGCGGGCGUUCGAGUCGCCCCAGGGGCA
RNAcentral lists this transfer RNA (73 nucleotides) under Dehalococcoidales bacterium. RNAcentral's name for it is "tRNA-Arg". It matches the Rfam family "tRNA". From Rfam's summary of the family: Transfer RNA (tRNA) molecules are approximately 80 nucleotides in length. Their secondary structure includes four short double-helical elements and three loops (D, anti-codon, and T loops). RNAcentral also lists the same sequence under 1 other name. The record is from RNAcentral. Lineage: Bacteria; Bacillati; Chloroflexota; Dehalococcoidia; Dehalococcoidales.